RNAcentral lists this small RNA (30 nucleotides) under Bombyx mori (domestic silkworm). RNAcentral's name for it is "ovarian small RNA-12326". The record is from RNAcentral. Lineage: Eukaryota; Metazoa; Arthropoda; Insecta; Lepidoptera; Bombycidae.
AUAACCACGGACGACCCUGACUGCGAUGGU